UGCGGAGGGAUCAUUGCUGGAACGCGCCUCGGCGCACCCAGAAACCCUUUGUGAACUUAUACCUUACUGUUGCCUCGGCGCAGGCCGGCCUCCCACCCGAGGCCCCCCGGAGACGGGGAGCAGCCCGCCGGCGGCCAAGCGAACUCUUGUUUCUACAGUGGAUCUCUGAGUUAAAAAAAAAACAUAAAUGAAUCAAAACUUUCAACAACGGAUCUCUUGGUUCUGGCAUCGAUGAAGAACGCAGCGAAAUGCGAUAAGUAAUGUGAAUUGCAGAAUUCAGUGAAUCAUCGAAUCUUUGAACGCACAUUGCGCCCUCUGGUAUUCCGGAGGGCAUGCCUGUUCGAGCGUCAUUUCAACCCUCAAGCCUGGCUUGGUGUUGGGGCACUGCUUCGAGAGAAGCAGGCCCUGAAAUCUAGUGGCGAGCUCGCUAGGACCCCGAGCGUAGUAGUUAUAUCUCGUUCUGGAAGGCCCUGGCGGCGCCCUGCCGUUAAACCCCCAACUUCCGAAAAUUUGACCUCGGAUCAG
This 525-nucleotide ribosomal RNA is filed under the name Diaporthe sp. F0089. RNAcentral describes it as "eukaryotic LSU rRNA". The stretch from base 197 to 350 matches the Rfam family "5.8S ribosomal RNA". The record is from RNAcentral. Lineage: Eukaryota; Fungi; Ascomycota; Sordariomycetes; Diaporthales; Diaporthaceae.